This 245-nucleotide ribosomal RNA is filed under the name uncultured bacterium. RNAcentral describes it as "partial 16S ribosomal RNA". It matches the Rfam family "Bacterial small subunit ribosomal RNA", at positions 87 to 334 of the family's 1533-position model. The record is from RNAcentral.
UAUGGCGACCGGCGCACGGGUGAGUAACACGUAUCCAACCUGCCGAUGAUCGGGGAUAGCCUUUCGAAAGAAAGAUUAAUACCCGAUGGCAUAGUUCUUCCGCAUGGUAGAACUAUUAAAGAAUUUCGGUCAUCGAUGGGGAUGCGUUCCAUUAGGUUGUUGGCGGGGUAACGGCCCACCAAGCCUUCGAUGGAUAGGGGUUCUGAGAGGAAGGUCCCCUACAUUGGAACUGAGACACGGUCCAA